UGCGACGUCGAGCGGUAACAGAUAGUAGCUUGUCUACUUUGCUGACGAGCGGCGGACGGGUGAGUAAUGCUUGGGAACAUGCCUUGAGGUGGGGGACAACAGUUGGAAACGACUGCUAAUACCGCAUAAUGUCUACGGACCAAAGGGGGCUUCGGCUCUCGCCUUUAGAUUGGCCCAAGUGGGAUUAGCUAGUUGGUGAGGUAAUGGCUCACCAAGGCGACGAUCCCUAGCUGGUUUGAGAGGAUGAUCAGCCACACUGGGACUGAGACACGGCCCAGACUCCUACGGGAGGCAGCAGUGGGGAAUAUUGCACAAUGGGCGCAAGCCUGAUGCAGCCAUGCCGCGUGUGUGAAGAAGGCCUUCGGGUUGUAAAGCACUUUCAGUCAGGAGGAAAGGUUAGUAGUUAAUACCUGCUAGCUGUGACGUUACUGACAGAAGAAGCACCGGCUAACUCCGUGCCAGCAGCCGCGGUAAUACGGAGGGUGCGAGCGUUAAUCGGAAUUACUGGGCGUAAAGCGUACGCAGGCGGUUUGUUAAGCGAGAUGUGAAAGCCCCGGGCUCAACCUGGGAACUGCAUUUCGAACUGGCAAACUAGAGUGUGAUAGAGGGUGGUAGAAUUUCAGGUGUAGCGGUGAAAUGCGUAGAGAUCUGAAGGAAUACCGAUGGCGAAGGCAGCCACCUGGGUCAACACUGACGCUCAUGUACGAAAGCGUGGGGAGCAAACGGGAUUAGAUACCCCGGUAGUCCACGCCGUAAACGAUGUCUACUAGAAGCUCGGAGCCUCGGUUCUGUUUUUCAAAGCUAACGCAUUAAGUAGACCGCCUGGGGAGUACGGCCGCAAGGUUAAAACUCAAAUGAAUUGACGGGGGCCCGCACAAGCGGUGGAGCAGGUGGUUUAAUUCGAUGCAACGCGAAGAACCUUACCUACCCUUGACAUACAGAGAACUUACCAGAGAUGGUUUGGUGCCUUCGGGAACUCUGAUACAGGUG
RNAcentral lists this ribosomal RNA (990 nucleotides) under Pseudoalteromonas distincta. RNAcentral describes it as "bacterial SSU rRNA". It matches the Rfam family "Bacterial small subunit ribosomal RNA", at positions 56 to 1040 of the family's 1533-position model. The record is from RNAcentral. Lineage: Bacteria; Pseudomonadati; Pseudomonadota; Gammaproteobacteria; Alteromonadales; Pseudoalteromonadaceae.